UUUUCUUUUCCUCGAUUGUGAUAACGGUUGAUAUAUUUCUCAAAAAAGGAAAAACAAGUAUUCACAAGCAUCUGGUUAGCUAUAUAUAUGGUAUGUCUCAUUUACGUCUCAACUCGCAUAUAAUGUUUUAGCAAUGCUUUGAAAGUAACCGAAUUUGCGUCGUCUUCUUUUCUUACUCUGGUUUCCUAAAACAGUCAGCAUGAUUUGCAUAGAAGGAGAAUAGAGACGAGUCAGCAAUUCAAUUUUUUUCUUUAUUUAAUGUUAUUUCUAUAGCGCUUUUAACAAUACUGUCCCAAAGCAUCUGCACAGAGAUAAAUAGAUGACAAAUAUACUUUUUAAAUGUCAAAAUUUGUCCUCAUGCAGUACAUUCAUCUCUAAUGAGCGAGCCGCUGGUGAGGAACAACUCCAUGAAAUGAUAUGAGGAAGAAACCUUGACUCAAAAAGGAACCCAUCUUCAUCCUCAACUCAAUCUUUCCACAAAAGUGGGGUUUAUAGUUUUUUUGAGACCCCUGCAUGUUGCUUCUAUGCAACAAACUCGGUCAUGUCAAAUGAUAUUUACUUUGACCAAACAAAUGUAUAAAUGUCCAGAUGUUCCACUUUAUUUUCAUUGAAAUAUACAUUUUAGCAUGAAUAGGACAUUUUUUGGAAAUCAAUUUCUUGCAAUCCAGUUCAUUCCAGCACAGUUCAAUAGGAUUUAGGUGCAGUGACUGGGCGGAUGACACUCCAGACGACCAGGUCCACUCCAGAUGACCAGGUUUAGGUCUUGUCAUAUCAACCUUCAUUCUUCUUGGAAAAUGUUCCACAACUGACCAAACCAGGCACUUGAGUUUUUAAGAGGACACAAAGGACAUACGGGUGCACCAUAGGAGUCGGGCUAAGCAUAAAAUUCUCCUGACCUGUAGCAGCGAUCUGUGAGAGGGGUGAUGACCAGACGUGGAGUGUUCCCCAGGUCCUGUUGCUAUGGCUUCAUGGAUGUCUUUGGUCCAGUACACCUGAGAGACGCACAAUACCGUCUGACCUGGCCAGGCUCGCACCCAGUUCACCCGCAACUCUUUAGGGUACGCCUCGAUCGCUUCGGCAAUCACCUGUAAACAGUGAGCUUUUUCUUUUUCUCCAAACCAAACUGGAUUUGGACCCCUGUACCUGGUUGGAUCCUUGGUCUCUGAGAGAAUCUCCAGCAGCUCAUCGUUGGACAGAAAGAAGAAGCGUGGGAAGAAGAGUCUCUUCUUUUCCAGGAAAUCCUGGAACUGUACGGUCUUCUCCUCGGCGAUCUCUCUAUGCCUGUCAAACACGGAAGGCAUGCGCAUGUGCCACUGGAACGUCUUCUUGUUAAGGCUUAUGUCCACUGCAGAGAACUCAUAACCAGCCAAG
This is a long non-coding RNA of Silurus meridionalis, 1371 nucleotides long. RefSeq lists it as uncharacterized. The transcript is spliced from 6 exons. Lineage: Eukaryota; Metazoa; Chordata; Actinopteri; Siluriformes; Siluridae. The record is from RefSeq and is a predicted model, not a curated record.